GGAUGUUAGCGGCGGACGGGUGAGUAACACGUGGGUAACCUGCCUGUAAGACUGGGAUAACUCCGGGAAACCGGAGCUAAUACCGGAUAGUUCCUUGAACCGCAUGGUUCAAGGAUGAAAGACGGUUUCGGCUGUCACUUACAGAUGGACCCGCGGCGCAUUAGCUAGUUGGUGAGGUAACGGCUCACCAAGGCGACGAUGCGUAGCCGACCUGAGAGGGUGAUCGGCCACACUGGGACUGAGACACGGCCCAGACUCCUACGGGAGGCAGCAGUAGGGAAUCUUCCGCAAUGGACGAAAGUCUGACGGAGCAACGCCGCGUGAGUGAUGAAGGUUUUCGGAUCGUAAAGCUCUGUUGUUAGGGAAGAACAAGUGCAAGAGUAACUGCUUGCACCUUGACGGUACCUAACCAGAAAGCCACGGCUAACUACGUGCCAGCAGCCGCGGUAAUACGUAGGUGGCAAGCGUUGUCCGGAAUUAUUGGGCGUAAAGGGCUCGCAGGCGGUUUCUUAAGUCUGAUGUGAAAGCCCCCGGCUCAACCGGGGAGGGUCAUUGGAAACUGGGAAACUUGAGUGCAGAAGAGGAGAGUGGAAUUCCACGUGUAGCGGUGAAAUGCGUAGAGAUGUGGAGGAACACCAGUGGCGAAGGCGACUCUCUGGUCUGUAACUGACGCUGAGGAGCG
Molecule: ribosomal RNA, 682 nt
Filed under: Bacillus altitudinis
Lineage: Bacteria; Bacillati; Bacillota; Bacilli; Caryophanales; Bacillaceae
Description: bacterial SSU rRNA
Rfam family: Bacterial small subunit ribosomal RNA
Source: RNAcentral